AAAGGGAGACCUAAUUCGGGUAUGGGAUGAAAAAAAAGUAGUCCCAACCAAGAAUCAAUCCCAAAAGGUCGGAGCGAGGCGAAAUUGGCUUUCAAACUAGGUUCUGGGUUCACAGAAGACCUGAAUCAGGAACAAGGGCUAUUAGCUCAGGUGGUUAGAGCGCACCCCUGAUAAGGGUGAGGUCCCUGGUUCGAGUCCAGGAUGGCCCACCUGCACAGGUGGUAAAAACAAGAGAAGCGAGGAAUCAGCACCUUAUCUUACUUACAUAGUAAGAGAGAAUGCUGGCUCUGAGUAAAGAGUCCAGAGGAACCUUGAAAACUGCAUAGAGCUAGGUGAAAAAGCCAAAAAAGAAGACCGCAAG
RNAcentral lists this transfer RNA (361 nucleotides) under uncultured Microcystis sp. RNAcentral's name for it is "partial 16S-23S ribosomal RNA intergenic spacer". The stretch from base 136 to 209 matches the Rfam family "tRNA". The record is from RNAcentral. Lineage: Bacteria; Bacillati; Cyanobacteriota; Cyanophyceae; Chroococcales; Microcystaceae.